GCCGGUUUGGCUCAGUGGAUAGAGUGUUUGCCUGCGGACUAAAGGGUCACAGGUUUGAUUCCAGUCAAGGGCA
RNAcentral lists this transfer RNA (73 nucleotides) under Myotis davidii. It matches the Rfam family "tRNA". From Rfam's summary of the family: Transfer RNA (tRNA) molecules are approximately 80 nucleotides in length. Their secondary structure includes four short double-helical elements and three loops (D, anti-codon, and T loops). The record is from Rfam by way of RNAcentral. Lineage: Eukaryota; Metazoa; Chordata; Mammalia; Chiroptera; Vespertilionidae.